UCCUGGUUAACCCAGGCAGUCUCACUAGAGUUCCCACCUUAAAUGUUGGCAACUAGUGAUAAGGGUUGCGCUCGUUGCGGGACUUAACCCAACACCUCACGGCACGAGCUGACGACAGCCAUGCAGCACCUGUGUACCUGUUCUUUCGAAAGACGACAUUUCUGCCGCUGUCAAGUACAUGUCAAGUCUGGGUAAGGUUCUUCGCGUAGCAUCGAAUUAAACCACAUGCUCCACUGCUUGUGCGGGCCCCCGUCAAUUCUUUUGAGUUUCACCCUUGCGAGCGUACUCCUCAGGCGGUACACUUAACGCGUUAGCUCCGACACAACUGGGGUUGAGACCAGUUACAUCAAGUGUACAUCGUUUACGGCAAGGACUAC
Molecule: unclassified non-coding RNA, 377 nt
Filed under: uncultured Chlamydiaceae bacterium
Lineage: Bacteria; Pseudomonadati; Chlamydiota; Chlamydiia; Chlamydiales; Chlamydiaceae
Description: contains 16S-23S intergenic spacer region
Source: RNAcentral